This 642-nucleotide ribosomal RNA is filed under the name uncultured bacterium. RNAcentral's name for it is "bacterial SSU rRNA". It matches the Rfam family "Bacterial small subunit ribosomal RNA", at positions 202 to 842 of the family's 1533-position model. The record is from RNAcentral.
GAAAGGCUUCGGCCGGACAGGGAUGGGCAUGCGGCGCAUUAGGCAGUAGGCGGGGUAACGGCCCACCUAACCGACGAUGCGUAGGGGUUCUGAGAGGAAGGUCCCCCACACUGGUACUGAGACACGGACCAGACUCCUACGGGAGGCAGCAGCGAGGAAUAUUGGUCAAUGGUCGGGAGACUGAACCAGCCAAGCCGCGUGAGGGAGGAAGGUACAGAGUAUCGUAAACCUCUUUUGUCAGGGAACAAAGACUGGGACGCGUCCCCGGAUGAGUGUACCUGAAGAAAAAGCAUCGGCUAACUCCGUGCCAGCAGCCGCGGUAAUACGGAGGAUGCGAGCGUUAUCCGGAUUUAUUGGGUUUAAAGGGUGCGCAGGCGGUCUGUUAAGUCAGCGGUCAAAGCCCGGGGCUCAACCCCGGCCCGCCGUUGAAACUGGCAGUCUCGAGUUGGAGAGAAGUAUGCGGAAUGCGCGGUGUAGCGGUGAAAUGCAUAGAUAUCGCGCAGAACUCCGAUUGCGAAGGCAGCAUGCCGGCUCCACACUGACGCUGAGGCACGAAAGCGUGGGUAUCGAACAGGAUUAGAUACCCUGGUAGUCCACGCAGUAAACGAUGAAUGCUGGCUGUCCGGGGGGACUGACCCCUGG